UACGGAGGGUGCGAGCGUUGUCCGGAAUCAUUGGGCGUAAAGGGCGCGUAGGUGGCCCGGUCAGCGUGCGGUGAAAGCUCGGGGCUCAACCCCGAGUCGGCCGUGCGAACUGCUGGGCUUGAGCACUGUAGAGGCAGGCGGAAUUCCGGGUGUAGCGGUGGAAUGCGUAGAGAUCCGGAAGAACACCGGUGGCGAAGGCGGGUCUCUGGACAGUUCCUGACACUGAGGCACGAAGGCCAGGGGAGCAAACGGG
RNAcentral lists this ribosomal RNA (253 nucleotides) under uncultured bacterium. RNAcentral's name for it is "partial 16S ribosomal RNA". It matches the Rfam family "Bacterial small subunit ribosomal RNA", at positions 524 to 776 of the family's 1533-position model. The record is from RNAcentral.